This 130-nucleotide small nucleolar RNA is filed under the name Prolemur simus (greater bamboo lemur). RNAcentral's name for it is "Small nucleolar RNA SNORA33 (ENSPSMG00000011769.1)". It matches the Rfam family "Small nucleolar RNA SNORA33". Rfam says of the family: ACA33 is a member of the H/ACA class of snoRNA that guide the sites of modification of uridines to pseudouridines. The record is from Rfam by way of RNAcentral. Lineage: Eukaryota; Metazoa; Chordata; Mammalia; Primates; Lemuridae.
AAGCCAGCCAAAGAAUCUGCUUGCCUGAAUGUGUUACUGCAGAGAUUUUUAAAAGCUGGCAAUAGUUAAAGCCAUCUUAUGAGCCUUAAGGACACUGAAGUCAUUAAGGUUCCUGAAAAUGGCUAUAAUA